AGCGAACGCUGGCGGCAGGCUUAACACAUGCAAGUCGAACGGGCGUAGCAAUACGUCAGUGGCAGACGGGUGAGUAACGCGUGGGAACGUACCUUUUGGUUCGGAACAACCCAGGGAAACUUGGGCUAAUACCGGGAUAAGCCCUUACGGGGAAAGAUUUAUCGCCGAAAGAUCGGCCCGCGUCUGAUUAGCUAGUUGGUGAGGUAACGGCUCACCAAGGCAACGAUCAGUAGCUGGUCUGAGAGGAUGAUCAGCCACAUUGGGACUGAGACACGGCCCAAACUCCUACGGGAGCAGCAGUGGUGAAUAUUGGACAAGUGGGCNCUAGCCUGAUCCAGCCAUGCCGCGUGAGUGAUGAAGGCCCUAGGGUUGU
Molecule: ribosomal RNA, 373 nt
Filed under: uncultured bacterium
Lineage: Bacteria
Description: bacterial SSU rRNA
Rfam family: Bacterial small subunit ribosomal RNA
Source: RNAcentral